RNAcentral lists this ribosomal RNA (497 nucleotides) under uncultured bacterium. Its description in RNAcentral is "partial 16S ribosomal RNA". It matches the Rfam family "Bacterial small subunit ribosomal RNA", at positions 28 to 507 of the family's 1533-position model. The record is from RNAcentral.
GAUGAACGCUGGCGGCGUGCCUAAUACAUGCAAGUCGAGCGAACAGACGAGGAGCUUGCUCCUCUGACGUUAGCGGCGGACGGGUGAGUAACACGUGGAUAACCUACCUAUAAGACUGGGGUAACUUCGGGAAACCGGAGCUAAUACCGGAUAAUAUAUUGAACCGCAUGGUUCAAUAGUGAAAGACGGUUUUGCUGUCACUUAUAGAUGGAUCCGCGCCGCAUUAGCUAGUUGGUAAGGUAACGGCUUACCAAGGCAACGAUGCGUAGCCGACCUGAGAGGGUGAUCGGCCACACUGGAACUGAGACACGGUCCAGACUUCUACGGGAGGCAGCAGUAGGGAAUCUUCCGCAAUGGGCGAAAGCCUGACGGAGCAACGCCGCGUGAGUGAUGAAGGUCUUCGGAUCGUAAAACUCUGUUAUUAGGGAAGAACAAAUGUGUAAGUAACUAUGCACGUCUUGACGGUACCUAAUCAGAAAGCCACGGCUAACUACGUG